UACGUAGGAUCCGAGCGUUAUCCGGAUUUAUUGGGUUUAAAGGGUGCGUAGGCGGUUUGAUAAGUUAGAGGUGAAAUGUCGGGGCUCAACCCCGAAACUGCCUCUAAUACUGUUGGACUAGAGAAUAGUUGCGGUAGGCGGAAUGUAUGGUGUAGCGGUGAAAUGCUUAGAGAUCAUACAGAACACCGAUUGCGAAGGCAGCUUACCAAACUAUAUCUGACGUUGAGGCACGAAAGCGUGGGUAGCAAACAGG
Molecule: ribosomal RNA, 253 nt
Filed under: uncultured bacterium
Lineage: Bacteria
Description: partial 16S ribosomal RNA
Rfam family: Bacterial small subunit ribosomal RNA
Source: RNAcentral